UCCUUGCAGGACGGCGUGCGUGCGGCAGCCCGGGCUGCAUUUUCUCAAGAAGUACGAGAGGACACUGCUGCUUGGGAGCCGUGAAUGCUCACUCCUCUCUCAAGAAAGAAAAAGGAAAAGAGGCUCUCAGGAGAGGGACCUCCGCUGCGGGUGAAAUGUAGCCCGUGACCCUCGACCCUCGGGGUCCGGCAUUUGUCUCCAGUGCAGUGACCACAAACAACCCCUGGUUUUGCUGUAAAUGUCAGCGCGGCGCCGUCUCCGCCCUCUCGCCUGUGAAGCACAAUGCUGCGCUCAAGCUGCACUAAUGGGACACUUUGAUGGCAGCGCCAUCAUCACUUGUCCUGUUUGCUUGAUAGCCGCGCAUCCACUUGCUGUCUCUGGUGUCAGCUGCAGCGUCCAAUUGAGAUGGAUGGAUCUCUGGAGUGCGCUCGCUCUUGCCGCACAGCCUGCAACAGCGAGCGGCCGCCGGGCCGCGGCGCAGCGCAUCACCCAACCGCUCAGAUAAAUGCAUUUGUUUUUGUUAGUCCAUUGAAAAAAACAUCAUUUUAUCCAUUGAUUGUUUUGCGCGCGUCCUGUAGUUAAUUAGGUGCAUUGAGGUCUCUGAGGUGAUCAACAGCAUUGACAUCAAAUCCUUUCCCUCUCAUUAAAGGAAACAAAGUCAUUCCAGUUCAGUGAUGCACGUUCUUCCCGGCCGACGCUGGUUUUGAGCUGCACUCUGGAUGGCUUGGUCCUCCUGGGAAACAAACGUUCAGGUCUGAUGGGAAACACGCUCAAACUCGUUUUGUUGUUGUUGUUAGGUGAAUGAAUGCUUUUUGUUUAUGCGAUUGAUGGUGUUUACCUGUUGGUGGUGAAUCAAGUUGUAUGAUUUUGUUUUUGCGUUAAUGUUAUAGAUUCACCUUCGUUUCAAACACUGAAAUUUGGAUUUAGAUGGAUUGGAUCAUUUUUAGGGAAAAAAACAAAAAUCUACAUUUCAGGUGCAGACUUCCAAUGUCCAUAUUUGGUCAAUGUCAUAUUUUUUUUCCACAAAUGAAUGCGACUGAGCAGUCCCCAUGUGGGUCUGUUAUUUUAUUUUAUUAUACUUUUUUUCUUACUAAUUCUAACCUAAAAUGUUGAAAUUGGCUUGAGAACUUCAACCAUGCAAAGUUUGAUUACUCCCCCCAAUAGAUGCUGUGUAUUAAUUUUGGGAGAAAAACACCAAUGACACACUUAGACACUGAUUAUCAAAUGUCUUUUCCUUUUUUUUUUCUUCUAA
Molecule: long non-coding RNA, 1252 nt
Organism: Hippocampus comes (tiger tail seahorse)
Lineage: Eukaryota; Metazoa; Chordata; Actinopteri; Syngnathiformes; Syngnathidae
Exons: 4
Source: RefSeq, a predicted model, not a curated record